Molecule: unclassified non-coding RNA, 308 nt
Filed under: Hevea brasiliensis (rubber tree)
Lineage: Eukaryota; Viridiplantae; Streptophyta; Magnoliopsida; Malpighiales; Euphorbiaceae
Source: RNAcentral
GGCUUCUGGAGCAGGAAAUGCCUUUACAGUUCGAUCACGUGGACGCAACUUCUUCACACCAUCAGCAUUAGACCUUCCAGCUGCUCUCAAUCUUCUAGCUUCUUCAUCUCGUAGUUUAGCAUCCAUCUCCUUGCUUGGAGGAUAUUUUGGAAGACUAGAAGGCUCACAAGCAUAAGGCUUGGUGGAAAAGAAUUCACUCUUCAAUGCAGCAGUAGCAGUUUGACGUUCAGCUGGGUCAAUGGCAAGAAGGGUCUCAAUUAGGGGCAGUGACGAUGGUGGGAAGUCUUUAAAAGUCUCUGCUAUACAUC